RNAcentral lists this ribosomal RNA (220 nucleotides) under Salmonella enterica subsp. enterica serovar Kentucky. RNAcentral describes it as "partial 23S ribosomal RNA". It matches the Rfam family "Bacterial large subunit ribosomal RNA", at positions 690 to 909 of the family's 2925-position model. The record is from RNAcentral. Lineage: Bacteria; Pseudomonadati; Pseudomonadota; Gammaproteobacteria; Enterobacterales; Enterobacteriaceae. RNAcentral also lists the same sequence under 1 other name.
GGGCGUUAAGUUGCAGGGUAUAGACCCGAAACCCGGUGAUCUAGCCAUGGGCAGGUUGAAGGUUGGGUAACACUAACUGGAGGACCGAACCGACUAAUGUUGAAAAAUUAGCGGAUGACCUGUGGCUGGGGGUGAAAGGCCAAUCAAACCGGGAGAUAGCUGGUUCUCCCCGAAAGCUAUUUAGGUAGCGCCUCGUGAAUUCAUCUCCGGGGGUAGAGCA